This 445-nucleotide ribosomal RNA is filed under the name uncultured bacterium. RNAcentral describes it as "partial 16S ribosomal RNA". It matches the Rfam family "Bacterial small subunit ribosomal RNA", at positions 354 to 796 of the family's 1533-position model. The record is from RNAcentral.
GUGAGGAAUAUUGGUCAAUGGGCGCAAGCCUGAACCAGCCAUGCCGCGUGCAGGAAGACGGUCCUAUGGAUUGUAAACUGCUUUUAUUUGGGAAUAAACUCCGGUACGUGUACCGGCCUGAAGGUACCAAAUGAAUAAGCACCGGCUAACUCCGUGCCAGCAGCCGCGGUAAUACGGAGGGUGCAAGCGUUAUCCGGAAUCAUUGGGUUAAAAGGGUCCGCAGGCGGUCUUAUAAGUCAGUGGUGAAAGCCUACAGCUCAACUGUAGAACUGCCAUUGAUACUGUAGGACUUGAAUUCGAUCGAAGUGGGCGGAAUGUGACAUGUAGCGGUGAAAUGCUUAGAUAUGUCACAGAACACCGAUAGCGAAGGCAGCUCACUAGGUCUGGAUUGACGCUCAGGGACGAAAGCGUGGGGAGCAAACAGGAUUAGAUACCCUAGUAGUCC